RNAcentral lists this small nucleolar RNA (96 nucleotides) under Procavia capensis (Cape rock hyrax). RNAcentral describes it as "Small nucleolar RNA SNORD125 (ENSPCAG00000019890.1)". It matches the Rfam family "Small nucleolar RNA SNORD125". Lineage: Eukaryota; Metazoa; Chordata; Mammalia; Hyracoidea; Procaviidae. The record is from RNAcentral.
AACCCAGGCGGCCUCUCCUGAUGAUCCUUCUUCCUGAGUAGCUCUACUGAUGAGCAACUGAGCCUCUAAGAAGUUGUCUGAAGGGGCUCCUUCCCC